UACGGGGGGGGCAAGCGUUGUUCGGAAUUACUGGGCGUAAAGGGCUCGUAGGUGGCCAAUUAAGUCAGACGUGAAAUCCCCAGGCUCAACUUGGGAACUGCGUCUGAUACUGGUUGGCUUGAAUUCGGGAGAGGGAUGCAGAAUUCCAGGUGUAGCGGUGAAAUGCGUAGAUAUCUGGAGGAAUACCGGUGGCGAAGGCGGCAUCCUGGACCGAGAUUGACACUGAUGAGCGAAAGCCAGGGGAGCAAACGGGA
This 254-nucleotide ribosomal RNA is filed under the name uncultured prokaryote. RNAcentral describes it as "partial 16S ribosomal RNA". It matches the Rfam family "Bacterial small subunit ribosomal RNA", at positions 524 to 777 of the family's 1533-position model. The record is from RNAcentral.